GUGUUAUGACUUAUGUAAUCGGAAUGAAUUUGGAAGAACAGUUCUCAAUUUGAAGCUUAAAAUUUGAAAGGGUUGACCAAGUUUUGACUUAUUAGUAUAUGAUCUCGGAUUGGAAUUUUUUUUAUUUGGUUAGCGCUAUUAGGUAAUUUGGGACUUAGGAGAAUAAUCGGAAUGUACUUUGGAGGUCCGUGGAAGGUUUAGACUUGAAUUGGUGAAAUUGGGAUUUUGGCGUUUUCCGGUUGAUAGGUGAGAUUUUGAUAUAGGGGUCGGAAUGGAAUCCCAGAAGUUGGAGUAGGUCCUUUGUGUUAUUUGUGACGUGUGUGCAAAAUUUCAGGUCAUUCGGAUGAGGUUUGAUAGACUUUUUUAUCGAAUUUGGAAUUCGGAAGUUUUGGAAUUCUUAGGCUUGAAUCCGAGGGUGGUUUGAUGUUUUGAUGUUGUUUUGAGCGUUUCGAAGGUUAGAACAAGUUUGAAUGAUGUCAUGGGAUGUGUUGACAUGUUUGGUUGAGGUUCCGAGGGCCUCGAGUGAGUUUCGGGGUGGUUUCGGGUCAUUUCUAAGCUCUUUUUAGUUGCUGGUUUUUGGCUACAGGGGUAUACAGUGCGUUAGCAUAGAUCUGACCUCGUUAGCGUAGAGAAAAUUUGGAAAAAUAGAGUUGUGCUAUGCUAUCGCGUAAGUCAUCCCACGAUCGCAUAGAGUAAAAUCUCUAUUGCACUGGCCCGACUUUGGAAGCUUAUAUCUCACAAUCUAUAAGGAAUUUGAAGAUGAUUCAAAAACAAAAGUUGUAGCCCUUAAUGUCUAGUUUUCAGAAUCAAUUGUAAUUUGGAGUUUUAUAAAAUAAAAGUUAUAACCAUUAUACUAGAGGCUAUCCGAAAGAGUUGGAGAAAGCUGUUGAAAAAAUUUAUUCUACGCGAUCGCAGGGGAAUGGCCGCGAUCGUAUAGGGUAUAAUAAGGACUGGAAAAUUUUGUACUUCGCUAUCACAUUAGUUUGUCCGCGAUAGCAUAGGAUAAAUACCUGGGCAGAUUAUAAAGUACUCUAUUUCGAAGAUUUCAGCCAUUUUUGCAUUUUUGGAGCUAUGGAGCUCGAAUUUAGGCUAUUUUGAAGGGAUGUUUAGAGGAUUGAUUGGGG
This 1124-nucleotide long non-coding RNA is filed under the name Nicotiana tabacum (common tobacco). Its description in RNAcentral is "long non-coding RNA (NTAB_LNC000630)". Lineage: Eukaryota; Viridiplantae; Streptophyta; Magnoliopsida; Solanales; Solanaceae. The record is from RNAcentral.